GACGAACGCUGGCGGCGUGCUUAACACAUGCAAGUCGAACGGAAAGGCCCUGCUUUUGUGGGGUGCUCGAGUGGCGAACGGGUGAGUAACACGUGAGUAACCUGCCCUUGACUUUGGGAUAACUUCAGGAAACUGGGGCUAAUACCGGAUAGGAGCUCCUGCUGCAUGGUGGGGGUUGGAAAGUUUCGGCGGUUGGGGAUCGACUCGCGGCUUAUCAGCUUGUUGGUGGGGUAGUGGCUUACCAAGGCUUUGACGGGUAGCCGGCCUGAGAGGGUGACCGGCCACAUUGGGACUGAGAUACGGCCCAGACUCCUACGGGAGGCAGCGGUGGGGAAUAUUGCACAAUAGGCGGAAGCCUGAUGCAGCGACGCCGCGUGCGGGAUGACGGCCUUCGGGGUGUAAACCGCUUUCGCCUGUGACGAAGCGUGAGUGACGGUAAUGGGUAAAGAAGCACCGGCUAACUACGUG
RNAcentral lists this ribosomal RNA (468 nucleotides) under uncultured bacterium. RNAcentral's name for it is "partial 16S ribosomal RNA". It matches the Rfam family "Bacterial small subunit ribosomal RNA", at positions 28 to 507 of the family's 1533-position model. The record is from RNAcentral.